Molecule: long non-coding RNA, 1729 nt
Filed under: Mus musculus (house mouse)
Lineage: Eukaryota; Metazoa; Chordata; Mammalia; Rodentia; Muridae
Description: long non-coding RNA chrX:101255873-101257602
Source: RNAcentral
UCCUUGUAAGGCGCUCUCCAAACUCACGGGGAAAGUCUUUGUUCAGGAAUACUACUCAUGGAGAAAGGAGGUAUCAUAUAGCUUUGACUUUCGAGUCCAAGUUGGUCCUUGGUCUUUCUUGAAGAAACUGGGAAGAUCUCAAACGGUAACUCUGAAAACUUCGCCAGAGAAAUACGGACUCUAAUCACAAAACUAAGGAGGGUUCAGCCCGUAUCCAUGCCUUGUAUCUCUCUCUGUAGGUGGUUUGUGUUAGUGUACCAAGUACAGCGGACAGAAUGGACCUUCACGUAGACGUUAGAGUGAGGGAGCAGAUCUACAAUGUGCGGAGGGGCCAGACUGAACAGAAGAUGGGACAGCUGACCGAGACCCUUGGCGCUAUUUCUGGGUAGACUGCCAUGCCACAAUCUGAAGCUCACAAAGAGCUUCCCUCCUUGGACGCAGCCUGCACAGCUGUUUUUCUUUUCCCUUAAGUUGAUUUUCCAGGGUAGAAUGACCACGAGUGCUUGUUACACUGGGAGUAGUCCCUUCUUAUGACUUACACGUAACACGGCCUUUAGAGUUUAUGAAGUCUUUUUUUUUUUCCUCCCCUUUUGAUUCUAGGAACUGAACCCAGGGCCGCAUGGUUGCCACUAAGCUAAAUCCAUAACCGGUGAAAUCUAAGAAUUUUUUUUUCAUUUAGUUAGUCCGCCUUGGCAGUUCGGAGUCCACAUUUUGCAUCUGAGGAAAUGAAGGCCCAGGGAGGUUAGGUAAUGAGUCUACCCUCAAGAUGAGGACUUGAGGACAAGCUUUGCUACAGACCCUGCUUCUCUGAGGAAAGCGUGGUUUGCUUUCAUUGCCAAACCUAGUCAAAAGGGGGCCACAAGCUCCCAGAGUGUCCCCCCUCCCCACGCAGGAAGCUUAAUACUUCCCUGGUGUUGUGCCAGGGUCACUCCCACCCCACCAGGGGGCGGCACUCACUUGAACAAGAAAGCUUAAGUUAGGUGACUUUGUGAACAGUUUAUCUGCACACAUACAUGUGCGCGCGCGCGCGCGCGCACCUGCGCACCUGGAAACUGACCUCUGCCACUUGCUUGUACCGAGGCCUCCUGGAGAGGGGUCAUAGGUGGAAGUGUAGCUCAGUAGUGAAUUCCUUUCACAAAAUAUGUCUCUGAGCUUGACCCGCUGCAGCCGCCGUGUGCAUGUGCUCACACUCGCGAGUGCGCGUGUUCGCACAUGCGCACACAGAGACCCCCACCCCACCUCACCCCUACACACACACACCACAUUUACUUCACUAGACCCAGAAUUAGAGAAAAAGAAGGGAGGAAAUCACAGAGCUAGAAGACACAACUGUGCUCCGUUACUAAGAGCCAGGGGUGAUUGGAUCUGCACAGAGUCAAGGAAGUCUUGCUAAAGGAACUGGCACAAGAGGCUGCUCAAGCCAUGCUCUUCAAGAAAAGGGUCACCUUUUUUUUUUUUUUAACCAGUGAGCUAGAAGUGGUUUCCCGCUGUCUCAAGCCUGUUUCUUAGGGGCUCCUAGCAUGUCUGAACUUCCUCCUGAAUUUAUUUCUAAACUAAAGAGCUCCAUGCGGGAGGGGAGGUCAAAUGACCUUUAAGGUAGAGCAAUUAUGCUCAAAUUCUUAGAAGACUUCCAAGGAGAAAAACUGGGAAGGAGCGGGUGUGUGUGUGGGGGGGGUGCGGGUGCGGGCAGGACUGAUGGAGGUACAUCAGACACCAUAGACCAACCAGU